GCCGGAUAGCUCAGUCGGUAGAGUGUUGGAGUACAAUUCUAACACUCGCUGGUUCGAAUCGCAGCUGAUGUCA
Non-coding RNA from Oesophagostomum dentatum (nodular worm), 73 nucleotides. The record is from the annotation of a GenBank genome assembly. Lineage: Eukaryota; Metazoa; Nematoda; Chromadorea; Rhabditida; Strongylidae.